This 253-nucleotide ribosomal RNA is filed under the name uncultured bacterium. Its description in RNAcentral is "partial 16S ribosomal RNA". It matches the Rfam family "Bacterial small subunit ribosomal RNA", at positions 524 to 776 of the family's 1533-position model. The record is from RNAcentral.
UACGGAGGGUGCAAACGUUGCUCGGAAUCAUUGGGCGUAAAGCGCACGUAGGCGGACCUGCAAGUCGGGUGUGAAAGCCCUCGGCUCAACCGAGGAAGAGCAUUCGAAACUACAGGACUUGAAUACUGGAGAGGGUGGCGGAAUUCCCGGUGUAGAGGUGAAAUUCGUAGAUAUCGGGAGGAACACCAGCGGCGAAGGCGGCCACCUGGACAGAUAUUGACGCUGAGGUGCGAAAGCGUGGGGAGCAAACAGG